GACGAACGCUGGCGGCGUGCUUAACACAUGCAAGUCGAACGGAAAGGCCCUGCUUUUGUGGGGUGCUCGAGUGGCGAACGGGUGAGUAACACGUGAGUAACCUGCCCUUGACUUUGGGAUAACUUCAGGAAACUGGGGCUAAUACCGGAUAGGAGCUCCUGCUGCAUGGUGGGGGUUGGAAAGUUUCGGCGGUUGGGGAUGGACUCGCGGCUUAUCAGCUUGUUGGUGGGGUAGUGGCUUACCAAGGCUUUGACGGGUAGCCGGCCUGAGAGGGUGACCGGCCACAUUGGGACUGAGAUACGGCCCAGACUCCUACGGGAGGCAGCAGUGGGGAAUAUUGCACAAUGGGCGGAAGCCUGAUGCAGCAACGCCGCGUGCGGGAUGACGGCCUUCGGGUUGUAGCCCGCUUUCGCCUGUGACGAAGCGUGAGUGACGGUAAUGGGUAAAGAAGCACCGGCUAACUACGUG
Molecule: ribosomal RNA, 468 nt
Filed under: uncultured bacterium
Lineage: Bacteria
Description: partial 16S ribosomal RNA
Rfam family: Bacterial small subunit ribosomal RNA
Source: RNAcentral